AGCCAAUCGGGAUAUUGGACCUCCCGAAUGAAUUGAGCACUGACGAGUUUGUUAAUUUCUUCGCGAAUGACCUCCCGACGUUCUGGGGCAAACUGUCUUUUCCUCUGCUUUACUGGUCUGGCCCCUAGGCUAAUGUUAAGCCUAUGGACUGCAAUUUUAGGGUCUAUUCCUGACAUAUCCUCAACCUUCCAGGCAAAAACGUCAAUGUUGCGAGAUAAGCAACCAACAAGUUCUGUCUUCAGGGUGACGUCAAGAUCCCAACCAAUCGUCACCUUCUUAUCAUGCUCGAGCUCAAUUUCCAUCAAUUUUUCGACAGGAGCAAGUCUGACUUGUUGCCCGGCCUCGGGCUCCAUCCUCGAGAUUUGCAUAACGUCGUUAUUUAUUUCUCGAAUGUUGGCAACAUAGCAUUGUCUGGCAGCUGUCUGGUCUCCACGCACGAUCCCAACGCCAUUACUUGUUGAAAACUUCAUGGCUAGGUGGAAGGCAGACACAAUGGCUUUAAUCUUGUUCAGGAGUGGUCUUUCCAGAAUAGCGUUAUAGGCCAUUGAGACACGUACCACUUGAAAAGAUGUCAUCUCCGUAACCUGUUUUUGGCCAGAACCCAAAGUUAGAGGAAGCUCGACGACACCCUCUGGAGUGAUGACUCCUCCCCCAAACCCCUGGAGAGGAGUUUUAACUGCUUUGAGCUGCUGAGAUGAGAUUCCUAUUUUGGCAAAAGCUUCUUGUGAAAGUAUAUUGGCCGCACUCCCGUUGUCAACCAAGAUUCUCUUUACUUCAAAAUUGGCCACAAUCGCUGAGAUUACCAAGGCGUCAUCAUGUGGAAGUGAUACACCUUCUAAGUCCCUAAUCCCAAAAGUAAUAUCCUCCAACUUUCCAUGAGGCAUCCCAGAGGCCAAGGCAUAUUGUCGGGUAUAUUGUUUUCUUCCACUAUUGGAGUCUCCUCCCGAGGCAAUACCUCCAAUGAUGAUAUUGAUAGUUCCAGCAGUGGGUUGACCAUCCCUUUUUGCCUCAGGGGCUUUUUCCCUGUCACGAUCAUUCCUCGGGCGUUUGUCGUUACCGACAUAGGAACUCAGGAGUCCUCUUUUAAUAAGGGCUUCAAUCUCCCGUUGUAGGGCCUUACAGUUCUUCGUGGUAUGCCCAUGAUCCCGAUGGAACUCACAGUACUUGUUCAUGUCCCUGGACUCUGGUGUUGACCUCAUUUUGACAGGCCAUUUCAGUUCCUUCAUAUCCUUGAUCUCCAUCAAUAUAUUGGUCUUUGACGUAUUUAAACGCGUGAAUGACGUCGGGGGAACCUCCUGUCUCUGUUUUUUCCGAUGUUCUUCUUCACGAAGGUUCGGGUCGUGCUGUCUUUUAUGCUCGACCCUAUCAUGGGAUGAUCCAACCUUUCUCGGGUCCAGUGUUUCCUCCAUAUUUAUGUACUUCUCGGCUCGGGUAAGAAGCUCGAUCACUGUCUUUGGCAGAGUUUUGGAUAAAGACAUCUUGAAAGCCUCACACUUUAUGGCAUAUGUGAGGGCAGAAACUGCUGCAGUUAUGUGUAGGUCGGGAAUCUGAAGUCUUUCCUUGUUGAACCUGGUCAUGAAGUCACGCAGGGUCUCAUUUUGCCCUUGUCUAAGUUGCAUGAGGGAAGCCGCUGUCUUCCUGAUGCGUUUACUGCUUACGAAGAAAGCAGAGAACUUGUCCGCCAAAUCCGAGAAUGAGGCUAUGGAGUUGGGCUCUAAGGUUGAGAACCAAUCCCUAGCAGCAUUCGUCAAAGUUUGUGGGAAGGCCUUGCACAUCACCUGAUCUUGUGCGACCUGUAGAUUCAUGACGUCCGUGUAUACGUUAAGAUGAUUGAUUGGAUCGGUGGUCUCAUCAUAUUCUUUGAUCCUAGGAUACUUAAAUCUGUCUGGCAAGGGGAAUGUUAAUAUCUCGGGAGUAAAGGGAGUGUUGGGACUGAAUCUUGUCGUCCCUUUGUUGCCCUGAAGUAGGCCUGCCGUAAUUCUUUCUUGAAUAAUCCUAGCGAGUUCCCCGGACUCCAUGGUUACUGAUCUCGAGGCCGAGGUCACAUGUGGUAUACCCGAGGCCCUUGCUCCGCCAUUGUCAAGGACAUGUCUUUGAGCUCGAGCUCGAGCAUCAGCCAUAAAACCCCCUUGGGGUGCUGGUGUGGGUGACGGAUGCAAAUUUCUUUGACUUAGCAGCUGAGUUAGUGCGGCGACCUGUUGUCUGAGCUCUUCAAAAGCUCCAGCAGUGACGUCUGCCGGCUGGGGCUCUGGCACUUCUGAUGAUUCCUCUUGAGGAAUAGGGAUAUCCUCAGGAGGGGGUUGGUUUGGAGCGGAUGGGCUUGCUGGUGGAAGACCUGAACGUGUGUUUACCAUGGCUUUUGGUAGCGUUUCCCACAGACGGCGCCAAUGAUGCUACCAAAAAUCGUACCUGUAGAUUUCCCGAGCUUGAUGACUGAUGAGGAGCACGAACGUGAUCUUCCGGUACCUGAAACAAAGGCAACGAGGUGUGUUCUCGUCGCCCCUCCGAUGCUUAAGUCAGAAAGGGAAUUUUGUGCGUGAGGUUAUGUGCUGGAGAACAAUGAAAAAACGUAUCUGAAUAAUGGCUCAAGGUUCUGUAUUUAUAGUAGUAAGUGACAUUCUCCUAGUGAGACUCAACUAGCUGGAUGUCCUCAUCUGUUGGAGUCCUGAAUAGUUAAGGAGUUUGUUGAAUUCCAUAAUUAUAUGUGGGAUAGAAUCCUUGCGGGAGUUAAGAGUCCUAAUUGCGUAGGAAUUUUAAAGGGUCAACCAUCGUCGGUUGUGAGGGGAGCAUAUGCCCGAGGACUGUGAUGCUCGAGGACAAAAUAUUUGCAAUAUGCGAAGCAGCCAGGCGGAUGUGGUCGGGCUUAGUGUCUCGAGGAUGCAUAUGCUCGAGGACACCGUAGAUGGAUUUACAACUUUACCAAAAAUAGUCGUUGGGAUAAUGUGUUGAUCGGGGAUAUUGGAAAAUGUCACCAUCACUAGCCAUUCUCAAUCAUAACUAUUAGCAACAGAAAUCGCCAGUACAAUCCAUAAUGAACUAAGUCUACGAUGUUCAAACAUUGAUUUGGAGACACAAAUAUUUAGUUAGGCCUCGUGUGUAUCAGACACAUUAGCUAACCUCACUCAGCUGACCGAGGACAAUGGUUUACACACACCAAACCUUGUCAACAAAAAGGGGGACAAAAGAGAAGUUAAAUCGUACACUGCAAAGCAACAAGCCGCACUCUCUACCCAAACCAUCCAGUAGGCAAAUAUCGUCCUAGACAUUGCCACCUUGGGCGCCAGUAUGAGGUUCAUGCUUCCCUUCCCAAAAGGAUGCCAAACCUUCUUAGGGAACAUUUACUAUCCUAAGUAUACUAAUAUACACAUGAUUAACCCAUCGACCAAUUCGAACCUGUAACAAGACCUGGCUGGUGUUGUCUUGGUGCGCCCAAUCUCACCAAUAAUUAGUAAAAGCCUAUACAUAGUUCAAGGGUACAACUUUUCCAUCAUUAUCAAAUUAAGGCGGUCCCCUACAAAAUCAACUGCCAUAAAUAAAAUGCACCAGUUGAACAAAAACUCAGUUAAAAUUACUUCAUAUUUUCUCCUUAGCAUCUGAGUCCCUUAUUCGGCAACUGAUGGAGUAGGCUAACCUAGUUCCUAUUUUGCAGGAUUCAACUUCAACAUUUAACAAUCAAAUAUAAAUCAAUCAUUGGACCCAUAUAAUUUAAAAAGCAUAUCCAUAAUAAUGACAGCAACAAUGAGACUUAAUUCAUCUACACUCUUUCUUUCUAGCUAUCUCAUAUAGUACUCAAUUCAAAAUUAUUCAUAAUCACCAACGACAGCUUUAGAACUUAAAGAAUACGCAAAGUAGGAUUCAAUCACAUAAAGCCCAUUUGACUGUGAUUUGAAUCACAUCAAUAUUUUUAUAUUCAGUCAUAAAGAAAGAGUGAGUAGAAUAGGACCUGGGGAUUCCAUGGGACAGGUCGAGCUGGGCGUCAUUAGGUCCAAACUCUUCGCCAUCGUUCGACGCCUCAAUCACUUGUCCGAACUCUUUAAAGGUCUCGGGAGUUGCUUCAAUGGGCUUCAGCUUUAUUACAGCCGUAAAUUGCUCGUCCGAAGCGGCAGACAUUUGAUAGUUGGACGAACGGUGAAGCUACGCUGGAGAGUGUGAGAAUAAAGAUGGGAAUUAUCGUAUGGUUUCCGUCUUGGAUUUUGAACGUGGUUUGGGUUGAGGUUUCGCUUACGUAGGCAGUUGGUGGAUUUCAAGGCGUCCACGUGGCUGCACGGAGACUAGAGAAUAUAGCCUUGUUUUAG
Molecule: long non-coding RNA, 4295 nt
Filed under: Olea europaea subsp. europaea
Lineage: Eukaryota; Viridiplantae; Streptophyta; Magnoliopsida; Lamiales; Oleaceae
Source: RNAcentral